Long non-coding RNA from Mesocricetus auratus (golden hamster), 2264 nucleotides. RefSeq lists it as uncharacterized. NCBI's taxonomy places the organism in Eukaryota, Metazoa, Chordata, Mammalia, Rodentia, Cricetidae. The record is from RefSeq and is a predicted model, not a curated record. The transcript has 3 exons.
GAACAUACUUUCUCCCCUGUCUUUGAAAAUGGCCCCUGAGCCUUAGGGGAGGAGUGUGAGAUAGAUGUCCACUUUGCAGCUGAGCAUUGCACAGACACUUGGUCUUCACGGAGCAGUGAAACAGCAAUGUGGGUCAAUACCACCAGGAAUGUAGCUAUGAGUUCCUUCAGCAGAGGUGAUGAUGGAUUCUGGGCUGCUGGUGAUGUUCAGUUACUUGAUCAGGCUGAUGGUCAUUCCCUUGUUAAGUUGAUGAGCUGCCCACUUACACAGGUUUGCAGUACCUCCUGCUGUCUUUGAAUUUAUGUGAUGUCCCAGCACAAGAACAUCUUCAUAUGUAAUUACACAUCAAUGUCCUCCGGUGUCACUGAGGAAACCUUGAAGUCUCUGAAGUCAAGGACAAGUUCUCUGGCCUGUUUGUUGCUGUCACCUGCCUUGGUGCUGAUUCUUCACUGGUUUCAUUUCUAUAGCACAAAGGAAUCUGUAUUUCAUAGUGUUUAUCAAUGUCAGACUGUACUUCAAUUCUGCCAUGUGCUAGUGGGGGGCUCUUAGUCACAGUGUUUCAUCUUACUAACUCAUACAUAAAAAACAUAGAUAAUAAUAACAAUGCAUGCCUCAGAUGACUGUAGGAAUGGAAGCAUGCCUGUCAAAUGUGGAGUGUAUACUUGGCACACGUUAAGAAGACAAGAAGUGUUAGCUGUUAGUGGUCACUCAGUCUGUAUAAGAUGAAGGACUUGAAAUGGUGCCAUGCUGCCGAAUUAGAAAAUUAUACCCCUUAUGAUUUAGCAUAAUUUUCAAGUCCUAGUUCUAUACUAGUUUGUCAGAACUUGAAUGGCUGAAAUGAAUUAAGUGGAUAUUAUUACAGAAUUACUCUUUACCGGACUGGGACUGGAAAAAGUCAGUGAUAUUUAUUAAGUGACUGCUGCAUACCCAAUGCUGUAGGCAGCUUGCAAUGCUUCUGGGUAAAGCUUAGACUGAUUUUAUAUUUCAAUAGAAAAGGCAGACUAGAAAAAUUUCAACCUUGACUCCAUUAAUAAUUAACUCUCUGGUUUAGAGUGGGUGGCUUUACUUCUGAGGUUUUUUUUAUUUCUGAAAUGUAGUGAGAAUUAUAUAAAUAUUUUACAUAUUCAAAUAUUACAUUCUCUAAACAAAAUGCUACAUGCAUCAUUCCCUUACUUGAAUAUUUCACUUUAAAAAUGUCUGUCUCAUAACUUUUAAUAGGCUUUAAAUUGCUUUUGUUAUUUGAAAAAUAUGUUUCAUUCUGAAUUUUGUUUAUUGAAUCUGUAUUUUAGCCUACAAAAUAUUAAUUACUGAUUCACUGUGUGUCUGCUGCUGAGGUAUGCACACAAACACACACAUAAGUAAUAUAACAGCUAAUGAAGUACUCUAAGGUACUAGGUGAACAUAGAAGAAAGAGUGAUUAGCUAUUCUCUUAGAAGGUGGUAGCAAAGUUAUGAAUAAAGAUUUAAGCAUUUCCUGGGUCUUGGAGUAGAAGUUUUCCAUGUGUAGUCAUGGACUGGGAUUCCUGGCUGGAGAAAGAACACUGGCAAAGGCAGGGAGGCUUGCAAGCAGUAUUCUCAUGUGAAAUCAUAGACUGUUGUAGCCACGUCAUCUAUGCAUAUGUCUAUGUGGGUUAGAGAGCUGCCACUUGAUGACAGCUCCCACCAGGUCUUCCAGUGGGGCCAAAGCUGUUUGCAAACCUCUCCUCAUCUUUGCGUUCCCCGGUAUCUCACAGAUCAACUCAAAUUGGGCAAUGUGGGAAAAGUUACACUCAGAAACACUGCAACGCCAAUAACUCAGGGCUUUGUAGGUGGCAGGAAUUCUUCUUCCUUCCUUCCUUCCUUCCUUCCUUCCUUCCUUCCUUUCUUUCUUUCUUUCUUUCUUUCUUUCUUUCUGGGGAAUGAUUGUUAAACAUUCAUCAGUGUGCCUCUUGUAAGAAAUGGCAGUUUUGACAAGGUUAGUCUCAAAAGUUAAAUAAGGUGAGUUCGUGAGUGGCUUAGUAAGAUGAGCUAGGGGCUUUGCAUUUAAAAUAAAUUCCAUGUAUGAUUUAUACUGACAUGUGACACUUUGUGGGCAAAAUUUCUGUAGAAAAAUGAAGCACUGUGAAGGGGUAACACACAUUGAAACAGAAACUUGAUUGUGAAGGCAAAUGGUUAUAAAUUGUGUUCGGAGAACUGCACUGGCAAUGCUCAGGGUAAGAAUGAUCACAUUUGGAAAAGACUUGGUGGUCCUGUCAGCAAAAAUAAAAUGUUCUCUGCUUCAUAAGA